This 284-nucleotide unclassified non-coding RNA is filed under the name plant metagenome. RNAcentral describes it as "partial contains small subunit ribosomal RNA and internal transcribed spacer 1". The stretch from base 1 to 53 matches the Rfam family "Eukaryotic small subunit ribosomal RNA", at positions 1778 to 1831 of the family's 1831-position model. The record is from RNAcentral.
GGAAGUAAAAGCGUAACAAGGUUUCCGUAGGUGAACCUGCGGAAGGAUCAUUAUUGUAUAACCGAGGUGCGAGGGCUGUCGCUGACCCGAAAGGUCGUGCACGCCCGAGUGCCCUCACACACAUCCAUCUCACCCCUAUGUGCACCACCGCGUGGGUCCCCCUUUGGCUUGUUCGGAGGGGGGCUUACGUUUUCACACAAACUUUGUAUGCAGUGUAGAAUGUAUUUUUUGUUUUUGCGAUCACGCAAUCAAUACAGCUUUCAACAACGGAUCUCUUGGCUCUC